RNAcentral lists this transfer RNA (91 nucleotides) under Candidatus Peregrinibacteria bacterium. Its description in RNAcentral is "tRNA-Ser". It matches the Rfam family "tRNA". Rfam says of the family: Transfer RNA (tRNA) molecules are approximately 80 nucleotides in length. Their secondary structure includes four short double-helical elements and three loops (D, anti-codon, and T loops). Further hydrogen bonds mediate the characteristic L-shaped molecular structure. tRNAs have two regions of fundamental functional importance: the anti-codon, which is responsible for specific mRNA codon recognition, and the 3' end, to which the tRNAs corresponding amino acid is attached (by aminoacyl-tRNA synthetases). tRNAs cope with the degeneracy of the genetic code in two manners: having more than one tRNA (with a specific anti-codon) for a particular amino acid; and 'wobble' base-pairing, i.e. permitting non-standard base-pairing at the 3rd anti-codon position. Lineage: Bacteria; Candidatus Peregrinibacteriota. The record is from RNAcentral.
GGAAGGGUGGCCGAGUGGUUGAAGGCGACAGUCUUGAAAACUGUUAGGCCCCCAAAGGGUCUCGUGGGUUCGAAUCCCACCCCUUCCGCCA